GACGAACGCUGGCGGCGUGCCUAAUACAUGCAAGUCGAGCGAAUCAAUAGGAGCUUGCUCCUGUUGAUUAGCGGCGGACGGGUGAGUAACACGUGGGCAACCUGCCUGUAAGACUGGGAUAACACCGGGAAACCGGUGCUAAUACCGGAUUAUCCUUUUCCUCUCAUGAGGGAAAGCUGAAAGUCGGUUUCGGCUGAGAAUUACAGAUGAGCCCCCGGCGCAUUAGCUAGUUGGUGUGGUAACGGCGCACCACGGCGACGAUGCGUAGCCGACCUGAGAGGGUGAUCGGCCACACUGGGACUGAGACACGGCCCAGACUCCUACGGGAGGCAGCAGUAGGGAAUCUUCCACAAUGGACGAAAGUCUGAUGGAGCAACGCCGCGUGAGCGAUGAAGGCCUUCGGGUCGUAAAGCUCUGUUGUUAGGGAAGAACAAGUACCGGAGUAACUGCCGGUACCUUGACGGUACCUAACCAGAAAGCCACGGCUAACUACGUGCCAGCAGCCGCCGUAA
RNAcentral lists this ribosomal RNA (512 nucleotides) under uncultured bacterium. RNAcentral describes it as "partial 16S ribosomal RNA". It matches the Rfam family "Bacterial small subunit ribosomal RNA", at positions 28 to 523 of the family's 1533-position model. The record is from RNAcentral.